RNAcentral lists this ribosomal RNA (697 nucleotides) under uncultured bacterium. Its description in RNAcentral is "bacterial SSU rRNA". It matches the Rfam family "Bacterial small subunit ribosomal RNA", at positions 8 to 698 of the family's 1533-position model. The record is from RNAcentral.
AGAGUUUGAUCCUGGCUCAGAUUGAACGCUAGCGGCAUGCCUUACACAUGCAAGUCGAACGGCAGCGGGGGAGCUUGCUCCCGCCGGCGAGUGGCAAACGGGUGAGUAAUACAUCGGAACGUGCCCAGUAGUGGGGGAUAGCCCGGCGAAAGCCGGAUUAAUACCGCAUACGACCUACGGGUGAAAGCGGGGGACCGAAAGGCCUCGCGCUAUUGGAGCGGCCGAUGGCUGAUUAGCUAGUUGGUGGGGUAAAGGCCUACCAAGGCUACGAUCAGUAGCUGGUCUGAGAGGACGACCAGCCACACUGGGACUGAGACACGGCCCAGACUCCUACGGGAGGCAGCAGUGGGGAAUUUUGGACAAUGGGCGAAAGCCUGAUCCAGCAAUGCCGCGUGUGCGAAGAAGGCCUUCGGGUUGUAAAGCACUUUUGUCAGGAAAGAAAUUGUCUGGGCUAAUACCCCGGGCCGUUGACGGUACCUGAAGAAUAAGCACCGGCUAACUACGUGCCAGCAGCCGCGGUAAUACGUAGGGUGCGAGCGUUAAUCGGAAUUACUGGGCGUAAAGCGUGCGCAGGCGGUUUGUUAAGACAGUUGUGAAAUCCCCGGGCUCAACCUGGGAACUGCAAUUGUGACUGGCAGGCUAGAGUUUGGCAGAGGGGGGUGGAAUUCCUGGUGUAGCAGUGAAAUGCGUAGAUAUC